Molecule: ribosomal RNA, 502 nt
Filed under: Juxtiphoma eupyrena
Lineage: Eukaryota; Fungi; Ascomycota; Dothideomycetes; Pleosporales; Didymellaceae
Description: eukaryotic LSU rRNA
Rfam family: 5.8S ribosomal RNA (bases 152-305)
Source: RNAcentral
AAGGAUCAUUACCUAGAGUUUGCGGGCUUUGCCUGCUAUCUCUUACCCAUGUCUUUUGAGUACUUACGUUUCCUCGGUGGGUUCGCCCGCCGAUUGGACAAUUUAAACCCUUUGCAGUUGCAAUCAGCGUCUGAAAAAAAUUAAUAAUUACAACUUUCAACAACGGAUCUCUUGGUUCUGGCAUCGAUGAAGAACGCAGCGAAAUGCGAUAAGUAGUGUGAAUUGCAGAAUUCAGUGAAUCAUCGAAUCUUUGAACGCACAUUGCGCCCCUUGGUAUUCCAUGGGGCAUGCCUGUUCGAGCGUCAUUUGUACCUUCAAGCUCUGCUUGGUGUUGGGUGUUUGUCUCGCCUUUGCGUGUAGACUCGCCUCAAAACAAUUGGCAGCCGGCGUAUUGAUUUCGGAGCGCAGUACAUCUCGCGCUUUGCACUCAUAACGACGACGUCCAAAAGUACAUUUUUACACUCUUGACCUCGGAUCAGGUAGGGAUACCCGCUGAACUUAA